UACGUAGGGUGCAAGCGUUAAUCGGAAUUACUGGGCGUAAAGCGUGCGCAGGCGGUGAUGUAAGACAGUUGUGAAAUCCCCGGGCUCAACCUGGGAACUGCAUCUGUGACUGCAUCGCUGGAGUGCGGCAGAGGGGGAUGGAAUUCCGCGUGUAGCAGUGAAAUGCGUAGAUAUGCGGAGGAACACCGAUGGCGAAGGCAAUCCCCUGGGCCUGCACUGACGCUCAUGCACGAAAGCGUGGGAGCAACAG
Molecule: ribosomal RNA, 250 nt
Filed under: uncultured bacterium
Lineage: Bacteria
Description: partial 16S ribosomal RNA
Rfam family: Bacterial small subunit ribosomal RNA
Source: RNAcentral